RNAcentral lists this ribosomal RNA (253 nucleotides) under Betaproteobacteria bacterium. Its description in RNAcentral is "partial 16S ribosomal RNA". It matches the Rfam family "Bacterial small subunit ribosomal RNA", at positions 524 to 776 of the family's 1533-position model. Lineage: Bacteria; Pseudomonadati; Pseudomonadota; Betaproteobacteria. RNAcentral also lists the same sequence under 1 other name. The record is from RNAcentral.
UACGUAGGGUCCGAGCGUUAAUCGGAAUUACUGGGCGUAAAGCGUGCGCAGGCGGUCUUGUAAGCCAGAUGUGAAAGCCCCGGGCUCAACCUGGGAACUGCAUUUGGGACUGCAAGGCUGGAGUACGGCAGAGGGAGGUGGAAUUCCACGUGUAGCAGUGAAAUGCGUAGAGAUGUGGAGGAACACCGAUGGCGAAGGCAGCCUCCUGGGCUAGUACUGACGCUCAUGCACGAAAGCGUGGGGAGCAAACAGG